Molecule: non-coding RNA, 1235 nt
Organism: Nicotiana tabacum (common tobacco)
Lineage: Eukaryota; Viridiplantae; Streptophyta; Magnoliopsida; Solanales; Solanaceae
Source: RefSeq, a predicted model, not a curated record
GGAGUUGGGUUUCAGAAUCAGUUAGAAAUCAUCAGAAGUAUCUUAAUGGUAAGAGACUUCAGAUUUGAGUUUGGGCUGCAUUUCGCCACUUUUGUAUAGUUUUCUUCCUAUCUGGAUUAGAUACACUUUUUUCUCGAAAAAGCUUUUGACCGGAGUCAACUUUUCCUUUCCAGUAGAAUUUAGCAUUAAGUCUUUCAAGGUGCCACAGCUUUGUAUUAAGGUUCCUGAAAUGGAAGCAAUUGGUUCGCUGAAGGAUUCUAGUAUUUGCUGUAGGGAUUCGAUGUAUACACUGUUUAUGUUGACAUUGGACCAACUAAAAAGAUGAUCGUAUGUGCAAAUGUUAAGAGCAAGUAGAGAACAGUAAAUAAAGCUGUUACAGCUAUCCUUGGAAGUGGCAUACAAGGGUGUACCCUAGUGGUCAAUGAAGUGGAUAACCAUGAGAUCUCAGGUUCAAAUCAUAAUAAAGACAAAUACACUAGGUUGCUUCCCAUUUGUCUAAGCUUUGGUGGACAGAGUUACCUUAUACUUGUGUUGGUGGGAGGCGCAGAUCUCCUAUUGAAUUAGUCGAGGUGCGCGCAAGCUGGCUUGGAUACCACCCUUAUCAAAAUUAAACAACUAUCACGGGAAGUGGAUUACGGUUGACCAGGGAAAGGUCAGAGAUGACAAUAGAACUCUACAGCAGGCCGGUAUUUCCCAGAAUGGCAAUCUUCACUUUGUAGCCUUGUUUUCACCAAAGGUCCUCCAUCAGUCCCUAAAGAUGAUACUCCUGCUUAAGCAUCAUACAUUACAGAUCAAGAAUUAUCUAGGUAUUGUUGGGAAGAUGAGCCACAUGUGGGAAUAUACUGCGUACGUUGUUGUUGUUGUUAUUGUUGCUGUUGUUGUUGGGAAGAUGAGUACUUGUAUGCUUUUGAAUAGUGAUGCUUUGCAUAGUUAUCAAAAAGAAUAGAGGAAGAAAUGUUACAACAAUAGGUUUUGGCUACUAUAUGGGUAGCUGAUGGUGUCUAAUUAGUCAUUUUUAUAUUCAGGCAUCCACCUAGUCCUAUCUUAGAAUUGGGGCCUCCCAAUGCUUUGUCAGAUCCUCCAGCGACUAAGUGGGACAAGCAUGAUGAGAAUAACCAUAAACUGGAGAUUUCACCUCUUACGAAUCCGAUUGAUCAAUCAGCUGAUGAUACUGUUCCAGAUUCUAAAGCAUUGGCCAUAGUUCUGCCUGUAAAUGCAGAGACACUUGCCGUGGU